GACGAACGCUGGCGGCGUGCUUAACACAUGCAAGUCGAACGGAAAGGCCCCUUUGGGGGUCCUCGAGUGGCGAACGGGUGAGUAACACGUGAGUAACCUGCCCUUGACUUCGGGAUAACUUCAGGAAACUGGGGCUAAUACCGGAUAGGAAUCCUUGCUGCAUGGUGGGGGUUGGAAAGCUUCGGCGGUUUUGGAUGGACUCGCGGCUUAUCAGCUUGUUGGUGGGGUAGUGGCUUACCAAGGCUUUGACGGGUAGCCGGCCUGAGAGGGCGACCGGCCACAUUGGGACUGAGAUACGGCCCAGACGCCUACGGGAGGCAGCAGUGGGGAAUAUUGCACAAUGGGCGGAAGCCGGAUGCAGCAACGCCGCGUGCGGGAUGACGGCCUUCGGUUUGUAAACCGCUUUCAGCAGGGGCGAAGCUUGUGGUGACGGUACCUGCAGAAGAAGCACCGGCUAACUACGUG
RNAcentral lists this ribosomal RNA (465 nucleotides) under uncultured bacterium. Its description in RNAcentral is "partial 16S ribosomal RNA". It matches the Rfam family "Bacterial small subunit ribosomal RNA", at positions 28 to 507 of the family's 1533-position model. The record is from RNAcentral.